This 625-nucleotide long non-coding RNA is filed under the name Lupinus angustifolius (narrow-leaved blue lupine). Its description in RNAcentral is "long non-coding RNA (LANG_LNC001376)". Lineage: Eukaryota; Viridiplantae; Streptophyta; Magnoliopsida; Fabales; Fabaceae. The record is from RNAcentral.
AAGGAUUGCUGUUUUCCGUUGCUGCUUCUUGUCAAUCAUCAAGGACAGAAGGGUCUCACAUGCAUGUAAGUAGUUCUUCUUGUAGAGAUCCCUUUCCCUACCUACUUUCUUGUUCUUCUUUUGUGAUGGCUUGCUUUUGACUUUUCGAGGACUGCAAAGCAAGUGAAAAACAUUAAUUUAAUAUAAUUACUUGAGCGAGAAAUUAUGGUAGUCUUUUUAUGUGCAGUGGAUGGGACUAUUAGAACAUCUUCACUCUAGCAUAAGACGUGUUUCAUGAAGACAAUUUUAAUUGAUUAUUGUCAACUCAACUAACACACAAGGCUUUCAUUAUCAGCUACAAAGACAACUUAAUAAUGCAUCCAAGACAUCAAGAGAGAACUAAGUAUUUCUACUGCAACAGUGCAAACAACAUGCUUCUUAAGGUUUACUUUUGAUAGCCUUCUUAACUCGGAUAUGGCAUAUCUCAAGGCUGAUCAUUUUUCUUUGGGGGGUUAAAGGUGAAGUAAAAGAACAAUCAUUUUGAUUUACAAUUUAGCAGUGCGAGUUCAUUUUGAUUUUCAAUUUUUUAUUAAUAAGAACAUGAUGUUUACCCUUCAAGAACAAUCAACUCAUAAUUCAUACCCAU